This 439-nucleotide ribosomal RNA is filed under the name uncultured ammonia-oxidizing beta proteobacterium. RNAcentral's name for it is "bacterial SSU rRNA". It matches the Rfam family "Bacterial small subunit ribosomal RNA", at positions 198 to 618 of the family's 1533-position model. Lineage: Bacteria; Pseudomonadati; Pseudomonadota; Betaproteobacteria. The record is from RNAcentral.
GGAGGAAAGCAGGGGAUCGUAAGACCUUGCGCUUUUGGAGUGGCCGAUGCCUGAUUAGCUAGUUGGUGGGGUAAGAGCCUACCAAGGCGACGAUCAGUAGUUGGUCUGAGAGGACGACCAGCCACACUGGGACUGAGACACGGCCCAGACUCCUACGGGAGGCAGCAGUGGGGAAUUUUGGACAAUGGGCGAAAGCCUGAUCCAGCAAUGCCGCGUGAGUGAAGAAGGCCUUCGGGUUGUAAAGCUCUUUCAGUCGAGAAGAAAAGGUUGCGACUAAUAAUCGCAACUUAUGACGGUAUCGACAGAAGAAGCACCGGCUAACUACGUGCCAGCAGCCGCGGUAAUACGUAGGGUGCGAGCGUUAAUCGGAAUUACUGGGCGUAAAGGGUGCGCAGGCGGCUCUGUAAGUCAGAUGUGAAAUCCCCGGGCUUAACCUGGG